Molecule: ribosomal RNA, 469 nt
Filed under: uncultured bacterium
Lineage: Bacteria
Description: partial 16S ribosomal RNA
Rfam family: Bacterial small subunit ribosomal RNA
Source: RNAcentral
GACGAACGCUGGCGGCGUGCUUAACACAUGCAAGUCGAACGGAGAGGCCCUGCUUUUGUGGGGUGCUCGAGUGGCGAACGGGUGAGUAACACGUGAGUAACCUGCCCUUGACUUUGGGAUAACUUCAGGAAACUGGGGCUAAUACCGGAUAGGAGCUCCUGCUGCAUGGUGGGGGUUGGAAAGUUUCGGCGGUUGGGGAUGGACUCGCGGCUUAUCAGCUUGUUGGUGGGGUAGUGGCUUACCAAGGCUUUGACGGGUAGCCGGCCUGAGAGGGUGACCGGCCAAGUUGGGACUGAGAUACGGCCCAGACUCCUACGGGAGGCAGCAGUGGGGAAUGUUGCACAAUGGGCGGAAGCCUGAUGCAGCAACGCCGCGGGCGGGAUGACGGCCUUCGGGUUGGAAACCGCUGUCGCCUGUGACGAAGCGUGAGUGACGGUAAUGGGUAAAGAAGCACCGGCUAACUACGUGC